This 125-nucleotide small RNA is filed under the name Marmota monax (woodchuck). The record is from RNAcentral. Lineage: Eukaryota; Metazoa; Chordata; Mammalia; Rodentia; Sciuridae.
GCUGGGUGUGGUGGCACACGCCUGUAAUCCCAGUGGUUCGGGAGGCUGAGACAGGAGGAUGGUGAGUUCUAAGCCAGCUUCAGCAAAAGUGAGGCACUGAGCAACUCAGUGAGACCCUGUCUCUA